CCGCGUGUAGGCUAGUCAGGUAGGUCGUCUGGUUUGGGACCAGAAAGUCGGAGGUUCGAAUCCUUCCACGCGGA
Molecule: transfer RNA, 74 nt
Filed under: Biquartavirus 44RR2
Lineage: Duplodnaviria; Heunggongvirae; Uroviricota; Caudoviricetes; Pantevenvirales; Straboviridae
Also listed under: 5 other names
Description: Aeromonas phage 44RR2.8t tRNA
Rfam family: tRNA
About the family: Transfer RNA (tRNA) molecules are approximately 80 nucleotides in length.
Source: Rfam by way of RNAcentral